UGCAAGUCUGGCCGAGCGGUCUAAGGCGCUGCGUUCAGGUCGCAGUCCUCUUCGGAGGGCGCAGGUUCGAAUCCUGCGGCUUGCAA
Molecule: transfer RNA, 86 nt
Filed under: Meloidogyne enterolobii
Lineage: Eukaryota; Metazoa; Nematoda; Chromadorea; Rhabditida; Meloidogynidae
Description: tRNA-Leu
Rfam family: tRNA
About the family: Transfer RNA (tRNA) molecules are approximately 80 nucleotides in length. Their secondary structure includes four short double-helical elements and three loops (D, anti-codon, and T loops). Further hydrogen bonds mediate the characteristic L-shaped molecular structure. tRNAs have two regions of fundamental functional importance: the anti-codon, which is responsible for specific mRNA codon recognition, and the 3' end, to which the tRNAs corresponding amino acid is attached (by aminoacyl-tRNA synthetases). tRNAs cope with the degeneracy of the genetic code in two manners: having more than one tRNA (with a specific anti-codon) for a particular amino acid; and 'wobble' base-pairing, i.e. permitting non-standard base-pairing at the 3rd anti-codon position.
Source: RNAcentral